Molecule: long non-coding RNA, 3217 nt
Filed under: Homo sapiens (human)
Lineage: Eukaryota; Metazoa; Chordata; Mammalia; Primates; Hominidae
Description: novel transcript
Rfam family: T-cell leukemia/lymphoma 6 conserved region 3 (bases 1888-2024)
Source: RNAcentral
ACAUGUCCUUAACCUUGGCACAACAAAUCUCUAAAUCGAUUGAGACCUGUCUCAGAUACUUCUUGGUUUACAAGAUGGAGGCUGAAAUUAAAGAGAAAGAUCCUCACUCAACUCACAGAGGAGCAGAAUGGGAAGAGGACUUAGUGAGAAUUCCCUGAACACAGGAGAAAACCGAAGCCCAGAGAGUGGAUGGCCAAGUCCAAGGUCACACAGCCAAGUGCAUCCGAGCAGCGCAGGAUCCAGGUUUCCUGCCCCAGUGCUCUUUCUGCAGCCCAUGCCACCUGUUUUCAUGCUAUCUCAGUUCACCUUCCAGCUACACACCUGCAAUCAGAAACAGAAAGUCUGAGAGUGUGUGUGGAGCCAAAGAGGGGACAGCAGUGGUGAGGCCAGUUUCAUGUCUUGUGAUUUAUUUUCUCCCUUUCUUUUUGGACUUUAAUCUUAAGUGGACAGCAAUUUGGAACAGUGUCAGCACCUUGUUGGAUUGUGCUGUUUGGGAGAGGUGACACAGAGUAUUUUAAAAGAGCAGGUUAAGAACUUUUCACAAGGAAUCAAUUGAGAGAAAAUAAAAUAGAAACAGACUGUCCCACAUUUGGGCUGAGCACCAAACACAUUUUUUUUUUUUUUUUUGAGACUGAGUCUUGCUCUGUCACUCAGGCUGGAAUGCAGUGGCGCGAUCUCGGCUCACUGCAGCCUUCACCUCCCGGGUUCAAGUGAUUCUUCUGCCUCAGCCUCCCAAGUAGCUGGGAUUACAGGUGCCCACCACCAUGCCAGGCUAAUUUUUGUAUUUUUAGUAGAGACGAGGUUUCACCAUGUUGGCCAGGCUGGUCUUGAACUCCUGACCAAGUGAUCCACCUGCUUCGGCCUCCCAAAGUGCUGGGAUUACAGGCACGAGCCACCGCACCUGGCCUCAAACAAGCUUUUUAAUUGCAUUCAGAAGUGCACCAACUAGGCACAGACCUCUGGCAUGGAGACAGAAUGGGAGGUUCUUGGUGUCUGGCCUGGUCUUGCAGAAAUCAGGGAGUUGUGGGGACCAGGCAGCCACUGUGCAUCAGAUAGGAGUUUCAGCAGCAGGCAACAGAAAGCCUGCCAAUGUAGCUGAAAUAAGAAGGGCUUAUUUUUAUCCCUGAACAGAAGCUUCCAGCACUGGUUCAUCAGAUCAGGGCACUGAGCUGGCAUCCCCAUUUAUACAGUUUUCCUUUCCUUCACCUUUGUAAGAUGCCUGGCACAGCUCUGAGCAUCAAAUAUCUGUGCCAUGUGGGAGCACACGAGGGGACAAGUGGGGAAUAGGGUCUCCUCUGUCCUCUGUCCCCAGGCUGGCUUCUCUCGUGGUAGAAGGACCCCCACAGCACCAGGCCUCAUAACUACCCUGCUGGUAAACUGCAGGUGCUGUCACGGCUUCCUGCCUUCGUAUAUGAAAUGUUCCUUGGCAGCUGGACUGCUGUUUGUUUACCGCACGCACAGCUCUGCUGCCUCUUGGUUACACCAGUGAGCUAUUGCUCCAUGACAAGCCACACCGAAAUGUAGCAAGCACUUAUUGUUGCCCACAUGUGUCAAGUCAGUUGAGUGUUUCUGCCAACCGGGGCCUGGCUUGGCCCACCUUGGCUGAGCUUGCUCUGGUGCUAGGGUCAGCUAGACAGGUCGGCAGGAGACCAGCUGCUCUAGAAGAGCCUGGACAGGAUGAAUUGGUUCUCCUUCCACGUGCAUCUUGCAUCCCUCCAGCCAAGGAUUUGAACCCAGGUCUCGUCUGACUCCAAAUGCACCAAGAGGAUGGAGCCCAGAGUGACACAGAGGAAGAGGCCCCUGGAUGGAUGCAUGGGGAAGGUUAGAAGCAAGGCACAAGUCAUACCUACAUUCAAGGAGAGGGGACCAUGCAAAGGAUAAACUGCAGAGAGACAACAGAUUUACAUCCCAGACACAUUCACACUGGGCCAAGAGCAGCUGCCAUUGCAGAUUCGAGUCACGUCCUUUUUUCCUUCCUUCUCCUUCUUGGAGUUACAACAGAAGCUGGGGAGGUGAGAGUGCAGAAAGGACGUGGAUGAAGCAGAGAGGCACGUGCCUGUCUCAUUCGCCUCUGGAUCUGCUGCAUCCAGGACUGUGCCAGCACAAAGUGGGAGCCCGAUAAAUAUUUAUUGAAGAAAUGAAAGGUGACAAAAGGCAGAAGGAGGGAGACCCCAAAAAGAGGAGAGACAAAGUUUAAUCAUGUGGGCCAGGCUGGUUUUGAACUCCUGACCUCAAGUGAUCUGCCCACCUUGGCCUCCCAAAGUGCUGGGAUUACAGUAUGAACCCAGCAUCACAGUGCACUUGUGGCAGAUGGCAGUGCAUACCCGGGAGCUACUCUCCUCCGGCCAGAUGCCCUUCUCCCAGCUGCCCGCCGUGUGGCAGCUCUACCCCGGGAGGAAGUACCGAGCAGCGGAUUCCAGUUUCUGGGAAAUAGCAGACCAUGGCCAGAUUGACUCUAUGGAGCAGCUGGUCCUAACAUAUCAGCCGGAGAGGAAAGACUGACACUGGGAGUGGCUGGCCCUGCUGGCCCUGCCUCUUCUGGCCUGGUGUCUCCUCAUGCCCCCUCAGUGAGGAUCUUCAUGUACCUGCUCUUCUGUUUGCACACCCAGCAUAGCCUCCUUGCAGGCAGAAGGCAGUAGGGCCCCUGCACACUCAGUUUCUCUCGUUUUCCUUAGUUAUCAGUCCUGUCCUGUCCCACUCAGGUCUGUACUUAGGGCAGCUGGCCUGGAUGGGCUUCACUGGGGCCCUGUCUGUGUGCUGAGCCAGUUUCCCCUGCUGGCUGCAAGCUGUGGGUUCUUUCUCCUCUGUGCCCCUCAUGCUGAUCUUCUAGAUGCCACUCCCAAAUCCCCUUCAUACCCACCAGGAUGUGUGCCCAGCCAGGCCUCCAGCACCCCCAGUGCAGCUCGUGAUUGGAAACUCACCAUCGGCAGGCAGUGGUUCGGUUUAAGAGAUGGCAUUAGAGGGAGCCCAGUCUGGAUGUGGACUUGGAUGCCCUGUGGGUAUCAGUUCUGCUGACACUUUGGCCCGAAAUAGAUCCAGUGCUGAGCAAGCAAUGUACACCAGAGCCUCAGUGAGCCCAUCUGCACAGUGGGGAGCAUGGAGGGAUGGGUUUGGCCUGUGCUUCUGCUUAUUCAGUCCUUCAGCUCACGGAAGGGAUGCUAGUCCGUGAAGGUGACCUCACAGUACUGGUUAAUUAAACUUUAUUGCUCACUGUCCA